RNAcentral lists this ribosomal RNA (620 nucleotides) under uncultured archaeon. RNAcentral describes it as "bacterial SSU rRNA". It matches the Rfam family "Archaeal small subunit ribosomal RNA", at positions 146 to 774 of the family's 1478-position model. The record is from RNAcentral.
AUAAUACUCCAUAGAUUAGAGACACUGGAAUGUUCUUUAGUCGAAAGUUCUGGCGCCUUAGGAUGGAUCUGCGGUCGAUUAGGUUGUUGGGGUAACGGCCCAACAAGCCUGUAAUCGAUACGGGUUGUGGGAGCAAGAGCCCGGAGAUGGAAUCUGAGACACGAUUCCAGGCCCUACGGGGCGCAGCAGGCGCGAAAACUUUACAAUGCAGGAAACUGUGAUAAGGGAACUCCGAGUGCCCGUAUACGCGGGCUGUCCAGGUGUUUAAAAAUCAUCUGAAGAAAGGGCCGGGCAAGACCGGUGCCAGCCGCCGCGGUAAUACCGGCGGCUCGAGUGGUGGCCACUAUUAUUGGGCUUAAAGCGUCCGUAGCUGGACCGAUAAGUCUCUUGGGAAAUCCGCCGGCUCAACCGGCGGGCGUCUAAGGGAUACUGUUAGUCUAGGGACCGGGAGAGGUGAGAGGUACUCCGGGGGUAGGAGUGAAAUCCUGUAAUCCCCGGGGGACCACCGAUGGCGAAGGCAUCUCACCAGAACGGCUCCGACAGUGAGGGACGAAAGCUGGGGGAGCGAACCGGAUUAAAUACCCGGGUAGUCCCAGCCGUAAACUAUGCGCGUUAGGUGU